GAAAUGCGAUACGUAGUGUGAAUUGCAGAAUUCCGUGAACCAUCGAAUCUUUGAACGCAAAUUGCGCCUGAGGCUUCGGCCAAAGGCAUGUCUGCCUCAGCGUCGGCUUACACCCUCGCCCUCCCCUCCUGGGGGUUGGGCGGACUUGGUCUUCCCGGCAAAGGCCCUCCUUGGAGGCCCCCGGGUCGGCCGAAGCAAAGAGGCUUGAACAUGGACCCCGUUGUAGGGCGAUGGCUUGGUAGGUAGGCAAACUCCUACGCAACCUGCCGUCGUCUGAGGGGACUUUGUUGGAGGCCCAGCAGGAAUCCGGGGCCGGCUCUGCCGCCCGGACUUCAACUUUUCGACCUGAGCUCAGGCAAGACUACCCGCUGAACUUAAGC
RNAcentral lists this unclassified non-coding RNA (380 nucleotides) under plant metagenome. RNAcentral describes it as "partial contains 5.8S ribosomal RNA, internal transcribed spacer 2, and large subunit ribosomal RNA". The stretch from base 1 to 105 matches the Rfam family "5.8S ribosomal RNA", at positions 50 to 154 of the family's 154-position model. The record is from RNAcentral.